AGAGUUUGAUCCUGGCUCAGGACGAACGCUGGCGGCGUGCUUAACACAUGCAAGUCGAACGGUAAGGCCCUUCGGGGUACACGAGUGGCGAACGGGUGAGUAACACGUGGGUGAUCUGCCCUGCACUUUGGGAUAAGCCUGGGAAACUGGGUCUAAUACCGAAUAUGAUCACGCUCUUCAUGGGGUGUGGUGGAAAGCUUUUGCGGUGUGGGAUGGGCCCGCGGCCUAUCAGCUUGUUGGUGGGGUAAUGGCCUACCAAGGCGACGACGGGUAGCCGGCCUGAGAGGGUGUCCGGCCACACUGGGACUGAGAUACGGCCCAGACUCCUACGGGAGGCAGCAGUGGGGAAUAUUGCACAAUGGGCGCAAGCCUGAUGCAGCGACGCCGCGUGGGGGAUGACGGCCUUCGGGUUGUAAACCUCUUUCAGCAUCGACGAAGCGCAAGUGACGGUAGAUGCAGAAGAAGCACCGGCCAACUACGUGCCAGCAGCCGCGGUAAUACGUAGGGUGCGAGCGUUGUCCGGAAUUACUGGGCGUAAAGAGCUCGUAGGUGGUUUGUCGCGUUGUUCGUGAAAACUCACAGCUUAACUGUGGGCGUGCGGGCGAUACGGGCAGACUGGAGUACUGCAGGGGAGACUGGAAUUCCUGGUGUAGCGGUGGAAUGCGCAGAUAUCAGGAGGAACACCGGUGGCGAAGGCGGGUCUCUGGGCAGUAACUGACGCUGAGGAGCGAAAGCGUGGGGAGCGAACAGGAUUAGAUACCCUGGUAGUCCACGCCGUAAACGGUGGGUACUAGGUGUGGGUUUCCUUCCUUGGGAUCCGUGCCGUAGCUAACGCAUUAAGUACCCCGCCUGGGGGAGUACGGCCGCAAGGC
Molecule: ribosomal RNA, 872 nt
Filed under: Mycobacterium sp. CNJ836 PL04
Lineage: Bacteria; Bacillati; Actinomycetota; Actinomycetes; Mycobacteriales; Mycobacteriaceae
Description: bacterial SSU rRNA
Rfam family: Bacterial small subunit ribosomal RNA
Source: RNAcentral